UACGUAGGUGGCAAGCGUUGUCCGGAAUUACUGGGCGUAAAGGGCGCGUAGGCGGGAUGGCAAGUCGGUCGUGAAAUCCCUCGGCUCAACCGAGGAACGUCGAUCGAUACUGCUGUUCUUGAGGAUUGCAGAGGAGACUGGAAUUCCCGGUGUAGCGGUGAAAUGUGUAGAGAUCGGGAGGAACACCGGUGGCGAAGGCGGGUCUCUGGGCAAUUCCUGACGCUGAGGCGCGAAAGCGUGGGGAGCAAACGGG
RNAcentral lists this ribosomal RNA (253 nucleotides) under uncultured bacterium. RNAcentral's name for it is "partial 16S ribosomal RNA". It matches the Rfam family "Bacterial small subunit ribosomal RNA", at positions 524 to 776 of the family's 1533-position model. The record is from RNAcentral.